CCGUUUUCGCUUUUGCAUAUUUUCUUUUCCAGCAACUUAACAUUAUUGUUUCUUUAUUAUUUUUUACGAGUUCUACAUUAUCUCUCUUGCAAUUUUUAUUUUCCUUUUUCCUUUUUAGCAUUUAGUUAAUUCUUUUCGUGCAAUAGUUUCUACACCGGAAACUAUUGUGCACCUUUUUACCGGAUCUAACCUUACGUUAGAAUCCAGUUUUUAUUUCC
This 218-nucleotide long non-coding RNA is filed under the name Lathyrus oleraceus (garden pea). RNAcentral's name for it is "Pisum sativum (pea) long non-coding RNA (PSAT_LNC007979)". Lineage: Eukaryota; Viridiplantae; Streptophyta; Magnoliopsida; Fabales; Fabaceae. The record is from RNAcentral.